CAUUGGAAAUUGUGCAUUUCAUAUUAAAUGUUUGAUUUUUUAAAAAAUAAUUGUUGUCAUUCAACCGAGCCUCUUCAAGUAUCUAAACUGAGCACGAGCACCCGGUCUGAGUGACUUCAUCGUCGGCGGCAGCGGCGCUUGAACCAAGAUACCUCACCAUCAAAUCAAUACCAUCGGCUUUAUUGAUAAUGAUGUGGUUGUCCAACAGAGUACCCUCAAUGGGGAGAUGCAACAGACAAUACACGUUCUGGUAUUUAUCACUAGAUUUGGAAUAUAGAAUCUGUGCAACAGUUCAACAUACAUUACAACAGAAUCUCAAUCUCAGAAAUUGAAGAAAAAAUAUCU
This 345-nucleotide long non-coding RNA is filed under the name Trifolium pratense (red clover). Its description in RNAcentral is "long non-coding RNA (TPRA_LNC013571)". Lineage: Eukaryota; Viridiplantae; Streptophyta; Magnoliopsida; Fabales; Fabaceae. The record is from RNAcentral.